This 303-nucleotide ribosomal RNA is filed under the name uncultured bacterium. RNAcentral describes it as "partial 16S ribosomal RNA". It matches the Rfam family "Bacterial small subunit ribosomal RNA", at positions 507 to 807 of the family's 1533-position model. The record is from RNAcentral.
AGCAGCAGCCACGGGAAUACGGAGGGUGCAAGCGUUAAUCGGAAUUACUGGGCGUAAAGCGCACGCAGGCGGUUUGUUAAGUCAGAUGUGAAAUCCCCGAGCUUAACUUGGGAACUGCAUUUGAAACUGGCAAGCUAGAGUCUUGUAGAGGGGGGUAGAAUUCCAGGUGUAGCGGUGAAAUGCGUAGAGAUCUGGAGGAAUACCGGUGGCGAAGGCGGCCCCCUGGACAAAGACUGACGCUCAGGUGCGAAAGCGUGGGGAGCAAACAGGAUUAGAUACCCGAGUAGUCCCUGUCUCUUAUAC